GACGAACGCUGGCGGCGUGCUUAACACAUGCAAGUCGAGCGGUAAGGCCCUUUCGGGGGUACACGAGCGGCGAACGGGUGAGUAACACGUGGGUGACCUGCCCUCAGCUCUGGGAUAAGCCCGGGAAACUGGGUCUAAUACUGGAUAUGACUCCAUGACGCAUGUUGUGGGGUGAAAGCCUUGUGCGGCUGAGGAUGGGCCCGCGGCCUAUCAGCUUGUUGGUGGGGGAUGGCCUACCAAGGCGACGACGGGUAGCCGGCCUGAGAGGGCGACCGGCCACACUGGGACUGAGACACGGCCCAGACUCCUACGGGAGGCAGCAGUGGGGAAUCUUGCGCAAUGGGCGAAAGCCUGACGCAGCGACGCCGCGUGAGGGAUGACGGCCUGGUGUAAC
RNAcentral lists this ribosomal RNA (394 nucleotides) under uncultured bacterium. RNAcentral describes it as "bacterial SSU rRNA". It matches the Rfam family "Bacterial small subunit ribosomal RNA", at positions 28 to 429 of the family's 1533-position model. The record is from RNAcentral.